Molecule: small RNA, 815 nt
Filed under: uncultured Davidiella
Lineage: Eukaryota; Fungi; Ascomycota; Dothideomycetes; Cladosporiales; Cladosporiaceae
Description: eukaryotic LSU rRNA
Rfam family: Eukaryotic large subunit ribosomal RNA (bases 533-815)
Source: RNAcentral
CUUGGUCAUUUAGAGGAAGUAAAAGUCGUAACAAGGUCUCCGUAGGUGAACCUGCGGAGGGAUCAUUACAAGUGACCCCGGUCUAACCACCGGGAUGUUCAUAACCCUUUGUUGUCCGACUCUGUUGCCUCCGGGGCGACCCUGCCUUCGGGCGGGGGCUCCGGGUGGACACUUCAAACUCUUGCGUAACUUUGCAGUCUGAGUAAACUUAAUUAAUAAAUUAAAACUUUUAACAACGGAUCUCUUGGUUCUGGCAUCGAUGAAGAACGCAGCGAAAUGCGAUAAGUAAUGUGAAUUGCAGAAUUCAGUGAAUCAUCGAAUCUUUGAACGCACAUUGCGCCCCCUGGUAUUCCGGGGGGCAUGCCUGUUCGAGCGUCAUUUCACCACUCAAGCCUCGCUUGGUAUUGGGCAACGCGGUCCGCCGCGUGCCUCAAAUCGACCGGCUGGGUCUUCUGUCCCCUAAGCGUUGUGGAAACUAUUCGCUAAAGGGUGUUCGGGAGGCUACGCCGUAAAACAACCCCAUUUCUAAGGUUGACCUCGGAUCAGGUAGGGAUACCCGCUGAACUUAAGCAUAUCAAUAAGCGGAGGAAAAGAAACCAACAGGGAUUGCUCUAGUAACGGCGAGUGAAGCAGCAAUAGCUCAAAUUUGAAAUCUGGCGUCUUCGACGUCCGAGUUGUAAUUUGUAGAGGAUGCUUCUGAGUAACCACCGACCUAAGCUCCUUGGAACAGGACGUCAUAGAGGGUGAGAAUCCCGUAUGCGGUCGGAAAGGUGCUCUAUACGUAGCUCCUUCGACGAGUCGAGUUGUUUGGGAAU